This 87-nucleotide transfer RNA is filed under the name Patescibacteria group bacterium. Its description in RNAcentral is "tRNA-Leu". It matches the Rfam family "tRNA". From Rfam's summary of the family: Transfer RNA (tRNA) molecules are approximately 80 nucleotides in length. Their secondary structure includes four short double-helical elements and three loops (D, anti-codon, and T loops). The record is from RNAcentral.
GGGCGAGUGGCGGAACUGGUAUACGCGUUGGACUUAAAAUCCAAUUCCUAUUGUAUAGGAUUGAGGGUUCGAGUCCCUCCUCGCCCA